This is a long non-coding RNA of Lates calcarifer (barramundi perch), 4427 nucleotides long. RefSeq lists it as uncharacterized. The transcript is spliced from 3 exons. The record is from RefSeq and is a predicted model, not a curated record. NCBI's taxonomy places the organism in Eukaryota, Metazoa, Chordata, Actinopteri, Centropomidae.
CAGUUUAUUCUCAGUUCAGCUUGUGGUCACAACCGAGGUCACUGUAAGUUGAGCUGCUCUCCAUUCACAUUUCUCUCCAGGAAGUGAUCACAGUUUUUACCACUAACUUUGAUCUUAUUGAUCAGACACCAGGAGGUUUCUAGCUGGUUUUGUCUUGUUGUUUCGUUUACUGUGGGCUGAAACCUUAAUUCUUGAAGUAUUGUGGCCUGUGGUCCAGACCAAUGGUUGCUCUUCCCAUAUGGGAUAUUGGCCAACAUGGGGCCAAAGUACACACACACACACACACACACACACAGAUGAAGGGGAGGAGGGUAAAAAGGAGAGGGAAGAUGCUUUGUCAUUUUCUCAACUGAGGGAGAAACUGAUGCAACUCAGUCACAAGCGGAGGCAAGGUGACUGAUGCAACCACGCUGUCAUAAUCUUUGACCAGCAACAUCCUGUAUGGUCAAAGGUCACAGCUACACACAUGGACACACAACCGCACAUAGAUUUGGAAAUAUCAUCGUCACUCAAAUACCAGGUAAAAUAAUUUCACAGUAUGCACAGUAGCAUGACACAAAGGAACUUAUUCACUGAUGUGUUAAAUACAAGGAACAUGAGUCUGUCUAAGGAAAUAACACUGAACGUGAUAGAAACCACAUUUAUUAUCAAUCACUGACACCCAGGCAUGACUGGUGUAAAAAAUAAACUAGUAAAGCUGUGAGGGCGCUGAUGUUAAAUGUUUUAUAUACAUAGCACUUUCCAAAUCAAAGAGAUAACAGCUUUUAACAAAACAGGCAAUAAAAUCAAGGAAGGACAAAAGGGGAGAUAGAGGAUUACUGUGUAAGAAGGAAGGAAAAUCCAAACAGCUGUAAAAAUCUAUAAAACAAUUGGACAUAUCAAAGCAAGGGAUUAUAUUACAGAGAGUAUAAACGAGGUAUAAAAAAGUCAUCAGUAAUUUUCACAGAUAGAAAAGUGGUGCUAUGGGGCUGUGUUUGUAUUUCUGACACUUUUAAUGUGGGUUUAUGAAAAUAGGUGCAGAAUUGAUGAGUCUGACUCAUUUUUUUAAACCAGUUGUUAAAACAGAAAAAAUAAGUUAACAAGUCCCUAUCCACAGAAUAUGAUGCAACACUGGCUUCUGAGCUCUUGUUUGCUUUGGCGGUGAAGCUGUUAUGAGCUCUGUGGCUGUUUGGCAACUUUGACAUUUUUCUGUUGCUGCUUCACAUUAAAAUUCAUUCACCAGCAAACCACUGUUGAGCUUAUAAUAUUGACAAUUGUCAGUAGAUCAGUUUUUGAGGACGGUGGAAGAAGAAGCAGCAGCAAGGCCGUCCUGGUGGUCACUCGUCUGAGUUAAAGGGGCUUUUUUGUGCGUUUCCUCUGCCACUGAAAAUGGUCUCUUGUUGGGUGGUCAUGCCAAGAGCUUCAGCCAUUAUUGCGUUUACAGCACAAGAGGUUAAGAGACUGCAGCGCUAAUCUGCAAGCUACGGAUUAGCUACUAGCUACUGAGUCACUAUCGGAUAGUGGCGAGACAGGCCGGGGCUAGCUGGUUAGCAUGCUGACCUCAGUAGAAGAAACAAAGUGACAGAACUAGAAACAAAACACCUACAUUGCUGUCCAUUGCUGGAGACAGCUCUUGGCGGUUAAAGGAAUGAAGUAAAGAAGAAAAAAAAACCAUUAAGAUCAUUUCGAUAACAGCUAUGAGGGAUCAGCCGUGGGGGAAGGACAGAUGCUUUCUGCAGAUUGAGCAAACUUAAAAUAUGUCAUGAAGAUAAGCAUCUGUUACUAAAAGUAUGGGUGUUGUUAGGGUUGGGUUUAACACCGGUGCUGUUCUGCUCUGACUGCGGCCGUCUGUGGGAUCGCACGGUGUCAGUAUCCAAAGUAUGUCAUACUGAAACUCUGUCACAUCAAAGUGAACUUUUCAAGGGUGUAAAUCGAAGCAAAAAACAGUGUUCUGCCCCAGUGCUCAUAACAAAUUCACAGGUAUAGAUGUUCAAGAGCAGGAGGAAUGUGUGUCUUGACAGACUUGUACAGUUAGAUUUAGAGACAGUGUCUUUAGCCAUAUAAUGAAGACAGCAUGUGUGUUGUGGAGAAUAUGGAUGGACAGAAGAUGUGGAUUAAACUUCAGAGGUGGUGUGAGAAGUUUCUCUACACGUUUAAAAGACUGUGAAACCUGCUCCUUUACUUCUAGAUUUUCUUCUCUGUGAAAGAUGAAACUGCUGACUUUUUACAGCCACUGGGUGGAGUAUCACUUUAAGCUUAAUUCAUUAUAAAUCCAUCCAGCUGAAUCAAUAACUGUGGGAACCCCUGUAACCUGCCAACAAUACAAACAAUAUUGCUAGACUUUGCAAACGACUGAAUGUCUGCAGAAACCCUUCAGGAACCUUUUUGCAAGACAGGCAGUUUCGAUGUACAAAUUUAACCACAUUCGACAGAUGGAUCAUGAGAAGUCAAAGUCAAAGACACUGAAAUAGUGUGGGCAGACUGCAUCAAUGACCAUUUCAAGGAAAACAUUAUCCAAGCAGGGCGAGGAUUUCACAUGAGUAAUGGUAUCUGUGUGGGUGGGGAAGGAAAUAAAACUGCAGAAAGAGGAAGAAGAUAGAUCAAAACCAGGAGGGGGGAAAUGUGGUAUCCGCGACUCUCGAUUUCUCAAUUUGUAUAUGAGUUGAAUCAGAUAUUUCUCACAGAGUUUUGGGAAAGCUUCAGUAACAUCUGUUGGAUGACUCUGUAAUGACGGAAUUUAUGACAUUAAUAAAUAAUCCCAUAAAAUGUGUGAUAUUUCUGUCAAAAUAUGCAAUAAAUGUUUUAUUCUUGCCUUCUUUCAACUUAUCCUCUCUGGAGCCUGGAGUCGCUCGACAAUUCUGAUGAUUUGGACGAAACACCAAUGCGGUGUGUCACUGUCGUACAGCGUGUGUGUUGUUUGUAGUUGUGUUUUAGAGGGAACCGGGUCCAAGCACCACCAGAACUGUACAGCGGGCCGAAUGUGGCUGAUGUGGAAACACAUUUUACUGCAGAGUGUGUUGGACUUCGGAGGUUCAUGUUAUCCUCCUGUACCCCACAAAGACACCCACACCAACCAGAAGGGUUUGCUAGCGAAGUGACAAAGACAUAAUCCCGCACUGACUUCCCACCCAUGAACAUUUCUGUUUGUGUGUGACCAACCAGACCACACCUGAUGAUUUCACAGAUUCUCAAAGUUUUUAACUGUGUGCACAUCUGCACAUCCUCAGGAUUUAAUGUAACGACUCCACCUCAGAUUAAAGAGCUGAUGUCAGACUGCCAUCUCACUAUUUGUGCAUUAUUUGCUUUUUAGGGGUAAUUUGUUGUUGUUAAUGUUUUUUUUUUUUCCUUCAUCUGAGUUAAAAAUUUGCUUUACUUGGCACAAAAUUAGGAAGUUUGCCUAGAUGUGAAGCAUGAAGAAGAUGCACGCUGACAGCCACCAAAAGAGUAACAAGAUGCUUGAUAACUUUUCUUCCAACGGCUUCAGUAUUCUGUUGAUUUCCUGAGGAAGUUAUUUUCUCUUUACCUUGGAUCGACAUUCAAAAACACUUGUUAGAAAUGCGUUCGUAUCUCGUAAGAAUCGACUUUAACUCUAGUCUUAAAGACUAAAGACUCUAAGAUAGGAAAUGGAAAGUCCAGCAAUUCAGUAUAUUUCCUCUGCCCUGCCUUUCCUUCCAGAGAAAUUACCAAGAAUUCAGUCCAAUUCAGGAGAAGCUUAUGCAGCUUUAUAGUAGGUGGAAGGUGUGUCUAUACCGGUGCCUUUGUGUGUUUUGUUUUGUGAUGCGUUCUUCCUGUUUGGGCAUGUGUGGUUUUUCCACACUGGUCCCUAAUUUCUUUUUCGUGAGAAUUUUUUAGGGAAAACAUGGACUCAAUUCAUCAACAGGCUGGAAACAUUAGCAGGUGGAUCCAUGACAGAGACUAUGACCAUGUUUUCCACUUCUGAAGCAACAGCUGCCCACACCGUGUUUUAAUGCCAAGCUCUGGCAGAGCGCAGUGUAAAGGUGAUGUUUGGAUGUAACACUUUCAUUUCCUGCCUGUAAAAUUAUCAAGAACUUCAGGAUCAGGAUUUCACCACAAGUCUGGAUGUAGUGGGAUGGCAUCACGCUGUAUUCCCCAGAAACACUCUGAGUGACAUGUUACUUCUCGCUCAGGAACUGUGCCAUCAGUUUCCUGCGGAAGUCUGGCUGCUGAACAAACGCUCGAGUGUUUGUGGUGAGCGGAGUUUGACGUUUGAGGUUGUGCAGGAUCCUGCUUCCUGCACCUUGUGUGUUUUGUGCUGCUAUGAUUGUCUUUAUUCCUCAGUGACGUACCAGCCAUUAUUCCCAGUGUGAAGUCUAUCAGGUUUAUUGACCCUGUUGUUAGUUAUCUGGCCUCGCUGCAGCUCUCUCCCUGGGUGUUUUUGACUUCCUGUGAACUGACCAGUUUCUCAUUAAAGACUUUUAAUUUUGGAA